This is a long non-coding RNA of Papio anubis (olive baboon), 2306 nucleotides long. The record is from Ensembl. Lineage: Eukaryota; Metazoa; Chordata; Mammalia; Primates; Cercopithecidae.
GUCCCUUAGUCCUUCCAAGGGAGGUUCUCACAAUACCUGACGGAUGUGAAAGACUUGACUUCUAGACCUGUGUCUGAAGGCCUAGGUUUGCAGUCUGCAGAGCUAUCUACAGGGCUGGUGGGAGACCCCUGAAAAGAAACCGGAGAAGCUUGCUGACAAAAGACUGGAAUUCUGGUAUCUCUUUUGUUUUCACCCAAGUCUGUGGCCACUGACAUUCCUCUUUUCCACCACGGGUGGAUAAUAAGCCCCCUUCUCAGGAAUCGAAAUGCUCUUAUACAUUUUAAUGUGACCUUAGACAGCGCUGUUCAGAAAUCACAGGCCCAUCUGACUACACUUGAGGUUGAAUUGAGCUAAUGGUAUUCACCUCAUCUUUAGAUGCAAAAUUGGAAGAUAAAAAGACCUUGAUGUGAAAAGCAGGGGGGGAUGUGAGGGAGGGGAGGUGGACGGGUUGCGGGGGGCAGGAGGGGGGAAGCAGAUUAGAGAUACUGCUUAAAAAUCACGUGAUUGUGCGUUGAUAACGAAAUGUCUCCUCUUUCCCAAAUCCCCCAUGGGCUGGAGAGAUGUCCUUAUUCUUUUAUUUUUAACGAUAGAAUCUUUUUAUUCCUGAGCUGGGGAAAUUUGAAUGUUGCUGCAUAUGUGGCCAGGAGAUACAUUGACCUUUAGCAAAUCUUAUUUUAAAAAACCCAGAUUGAACAGUUAUUGCAAUAUUUCAGCCCUGUAAGAUGAAAAGAGAGAGAGAGAGAGAGAGAGGAGAGGAGAGAGAGCGCGCCUUCUUCCUCUGUAAUCAGAUGUGGAUUAAAUUUAUUAAAGAUGCUGUGUCUCCUUUUAAAUGACUGGCAACCCUCUUUCUGAAUUAUCAGGAGCUGGCUGGAGACAUGGCACCCUUCUGAUUUCAUCUUAAGAUGACAGAGAAAAGUCUAAAAUGGGAGAAAACUUGGUUCCUCUCUGUUGCUCUUUGGCUCAAACUUGGUUUUCAUCCAUUAAGCCAAAUGCAUUCAGGGCCCCAUGGUGAGGCCCAGAAGGGGAUGAGGGUAAAUGGGAGGGUGGGGGCACAGGGUGUGGUCAGAUCAGCUUCCCAGGAAAGAAGCUGGGAGGGAGCCCCUGCAGCUCACAUAAAAUGCGCAACCCCUAGAGACAGGCUCAUUUCCAGCUUUGACGUGCCUGCUGUCUGUCAAGGGCCCAGUGAAUGCUUCCCACCCGCAGGGCUCAGCCGCCUCCAGGACCCAGGGGCCCAUUGGGCAAUCCAUCACGGAGCACACCUGGCCUGCCCAAAGGACACAGCAGGCAGUGGGAGUCCAGAAAUGAACCAGACCCAUCCCUGGCCAUGGAGGAACACCCAACCUAACUGGAGAGACAAAGGUGGAGAAGGAGAGAGGACUGGAGUGAAGAAGUUCCUGCUCCUCCCUCCCAGCGCUUCCAUUUCCAUUUCUUCAUCUGCAAAGUGGCAUGGUGUCGACUACCUCUAAUCAAGAUUGAACAAGACAACAGCUGGAAAUGUGCCUUGUAAAUGAUAAUGUUUUAUGCAAAUGUCUAUUAGUAUUCUUAGUCCAUUCAUUCGUUCAUUUUAGAUUUGUUGAGCACCUACUCUAUGCCAGGCCUUUCUCAGACCCUGGGGAUAAGGAGGGGAAUAGGACAUGCCUCCCCUUCCCAGUAGUCUGCAUUCUGGCUGGCACGCUACAUUUUGCUGGACAUCCUAGGGUGUGAGUGUGCGAGUGUGACACUUCAAAUUGUCUUUGGCAGUUGAGGAGAUCACACGUGGUGAGUUUAACAAGCACAUGUCAUGCAGUACCUGCCUUAGUUUCUGGGAUUUAGAGCAAAUAACCAUUUCUGGAAAAUGUUUUGUCCUUAGGAGGUAGCUCUAGUCUCCUGGAGACACCCCAGAAUGGGUUUGCUGAUGUGUGGGUGAGAAUAAGAAUCACCAUCAUCAAGACAAGAAACAGGAGCUCAUGCAGGCGGAGGGCUUAACAUGCCCCUGUCUCGGAGGAGCAAUCUGAGGUCCUGGAUUCCCUACCAGCUGCAGGGAACCUCACCACCACAGCCACCUCUUACUCUCCCAGGGGAGCCCACAAGUCUACUUUUACUGGAACUUGGAACUAAGGGUUGCCAAGGUGAAUGUCUACCUCAAGGUCUCAUAGCACAUAUGUGGCCCAGUGGCCAUGGCUCCAUGGAGCCCAGUUGAACAAGCCUGUCCCAACCAGAAUUGAUUCCUGCACCAGCAUGUCGCCUGUUUCUGAGCCUAGGCCUCAUGGCGACAGUCAAGGGUGGUCAGGGUUAGGAGCGUGAGUUUGCAGCCAGACUGACAUGGG